UGGCGGUAUGCUUACACAUGCAAGUCGAACGGUCUUUUCGGAGACAGUGGCGGACGGGUGAGUAACGCGUAAGAAUCUACCCCCAGGUCGGGGACAACCACUGGAAACGGUGGCUAAUACCGGAUGUGCCGAGAGGUGAAAGGCUUGCUGCCUGGGGAAGAGCUUGCGUCUGAUUAGCUAGUUGGUAGUGUAAGGGACUACCAAGGCGACGAUCAGUAGCUGGUCUGAGAGGAUGAUCAGCCACACUGGGACUGAGACACGGCCCAGACUCCUACGGGAGGCAGCAGUGGGGAAUUUUCCGCAAUGGGCGAAAGCCUGACGGAGCAAUACCGCGUGAGGGAGGAAGGCUCUUGGGUUGUAAACCUCUUUUCUCAGGGAAGAAAAAAAUGACGGUACCUGAGGAAUAAGCAUCGGCUAACUCCGUGCCAGCAGCCGCGGUAAUACGGAGGAUGCAAGCGUUAUCCGGAAUGAUUGGGCGUAAAGGGUCCGCAGGUGGCAUUGUAAGUCUGCUGUUAAAGAGUCUAGCUCAACUAGAUAAAAGCAGUGGAAACUACAAAGCUAGAGUUUGGUCGGGGCAGAAGGAAUUCCUGGUGUAGCGGUGAAAUGCGUGGAUAUCAGGAAGAACACCAGUGGCGAAGGCGUUCUGCUAGGCCGAGACUGACACUGAGGGACGAAAGCUAGGGGAGCGAAUGGGAUUAGAUACCCCAGUAGUCCUAGCCGUAAACGAUGGAUACUAGGCGUAGCUCGUAUCGACCCCGAGCUGUGCCGGAGCUAACGCGUUAAGUAUCCCGCCUGGGGAGUACGC
This 805-nucleotide ribosomal RNA is filed under the name uncultured cyanobacterium. RNAcentral's name for it is "bacterial SSU rRNA". It matches the Rfam family "Bacterial small subunit ribosomal RNA", at positions 37 to 885 of the family's 1533-position model. Lineage: Bacteria; Bacillati; Cyanobacteriota. The record is from RNAcentral.